UACGUAGGCAGCGAGCGUUGUUCGGAGUUACUGGGCGUAAAGAGUGCGUAGGCGGCGUUCCAAGUUUGGUGUGAAAUCUCCCGGCUUAACUGGGAGGGUGCGCCGAAAACUGGGGUGCUAGAGUGCGGGAGAGGUAAGCGGAAUUCCUGGUGUAGCGGUGAAAUGCGUAGAUAUCGGGAGGAACACCGGCGGUGUAGACGGCUUACUGGACCGUGACUGACGCUGAGGCACGAAAGCGUGGGUAGCAAACAGG
Molecule: ribosomal RNA, 253 nt
Filed under: uncultured bacterium
Lineage: Bacteria
Description: partial 16S ribosomal RNA
Rfam family: Bacterial small subunit ribosomal RNA
Source: RNAcentral